RNAcentral lists this ribosomal RNA (403 nucleotides) under uncultured bacterium. RNAcentral describes it as "bacterial SSU rRNA". It matches the Rfam family "Bacterial small subunit ribosomal RNA", at positions 932 to 1349 of the family's 1533-position model. The record is from RNAcentral.
UCGGAGCGUGUGGUUUAAUUCGACGAUACGCGAAGAACCUUACCUGGGUUUGACAUCAAGGUAGUAGCAAGGUGAAAGCUGCGCGACCCUUCGGGGAGCCUCGACAGGUGCUGCAUGGCUGUCGUCAGCUCGUGUCGUGAGGUGUUGGGUUAAGUCCCGCAACGAGCGCAACCCUCGUCGUUAGUUACAAGUGUCUAACGAGACUGCUGGUUUCAAACCGGAGGAAGGUGGGGAUGACGUCAAGUCAGCAUGGUCUUUAUAUCCAGGGCUACACACACGCUACAAUGGCCGGUACAAUUGGUUGCCACACCGCAAGGUGGAGCUAAUCCUCAAAGCCGGUCUCAGUUCAGAUUGUCGUCUGCAACUCGACGGCAUGAAGGCGGAGUUGCUAGUAACCGCAUAA